Molecule: long non-coding RNA, 190 nt
Organism: Neopelma chrysocephalum (saffron-crested tyrant-manakin)
Lineage: Eukaryota; Metazoa; Chordata; Aves; Passeriformes; Pipridae
Exons: 3
Source: RefSeq, a predicted model, not a curated record
CUGAGCCCCCUGGGACCCCCAAACAGCCCCUGAGACCACCCGAAAAUACUGCCAGGAACGGCUCCUGCCACGAGUGCUGCGGGCAAACAGGGAUGAGGUGUUUGACCGGGAGAUCGUCAAUGAACUGGGGGCUCUGGGGGUCCUGGGCCCCACCAUCCAAGGGUACGGCUGUGCUGGCACCACGUCUGUG